RNAcentral lists this ribosomal RNA (520 nucleotides) under uncultured bacterium. Its description in RNAcentral is "bacterial SSU rRNA". It matches the Rfam family "Bacterial small subunit ribosomal RNA", at positions 120 to 674 of the family's 1533-position model. The record is from RNAcentral.
GGGAAUCUACCUAGUUCUACGGAACAACAGAGGGAAACUUCUGCUAAUACCGUAUACGCCCUAUGGGGGAAAGAUUUAUCGGAAUUAGAUGAGCCCGCGUAAGAUUAGCUAGUUGGUGAGGUAAUGGCUCACCAAGGCGACGAUCUUUAGCUGGUCUGAGAGGAUGAUCAGCCACACUGGGACUGAGACACGGCCCAGACUCCUACGGGAGGCAGCAGUGGGGAAUAUUGGACAAUGGGCGCAAGCCUGAUCCAGCCAUGCCGCGUGAGUGAUGAAGGCCUUAGGGUUGUAAAGCUCUUUCAGUGGGGAAGAUAAUGACGGUACCCACAGAAGAAGCCCCGGCUAACUUCGUGCCAGCAGCCGCGGUAAUACGAAGGGGGCUAGCGUUGUUCGGAUUUACUGGGCGUAAAGCGCACGUAGGCGGUUUGUUAAGUCAGGGGUGAAAUCCCAGAGCUCAACUCUGGAACUGCCUUUGAUACUGGCAAGCUAGAGUCCGGAAGAGGUAAGUGGAACUCCUAGU